RNAcentral lists this long non-coding RNA (897 nucleotides) under Coturnix japonica (Japanese quail). RNAcentral describes it as "lncRNA (ENSCJPG00005002803.1)". Lineage: Eukaryota; Metazoa; Chordata; Aves; Galliformes; Phasianidae. The record is from RNAcentral.
AUGGAGCCCGACACAAGAGGAUCUCUUGCACAAGGAUCUCUUGCACAAGGACACUUUGCACAAGAAACCCUUUGCACAAGGAUCUCUUACGCAACGAAUCCUUAACACAAGGAUCUCUUGCACAAGAACUCGCAUGAGGAUCUCUCACACCAGGGGUCCUUUGCACGAGGAUCUUUUGUACCAGGAAUCUUAACACAAGAAUCUCAUGCACAGAGCCCUUUGCAUAAGGAUCUCUCGCACAAGAAUUCAUUUGCACAAGGCUCUCUUGAACAAGAACUCAUUUGCACAAGGAUCUCUUGCACAAGAACCCCUUAACACAAGGAUCUCUCGCAUCAGAACUCAUUUGCACAAGGAUCUCUUGCACAAGAGCUCACUUACACAAGUAUCUCUCACACCAGGACCCCCUUGCACAAGCAUCUCUCGCACAAGAACCCCUUAACACAAGGAUCUCUCGCACCAGGACCCAUUUACACCAGGACCCCCUUGCACAAGCAUCUCUCGCACAAGUAUCUCUUGCACAAGGAUCUCUCGCACAAGGACCCCUUUGCACAAGGAUCUCUUGCACAAGCAUCUCUUGCACAAGCAUCUCUUGCACAAUGACCCCUUACACAAGCAUCUCUCGCACAAUGACCCCCUUACACAAUCAUCUCUCGCACAAUGACCCCUUACACAAGUACCUCUCGCACCAGGCCCCCUUUGCACGACUCCCCCCCCCUCACUGCUCCUCGUUCCCCCCCGUGAGCUUGUGGAACAGCUCCGUGUCCAUUUGCCGUCCCGCCGUGCGCCCCCCCAUGCACACGUACCCCCCCAGGUACUCGUGCACCGUCUGGCACGAGGCCGACACGACGCUGAACGCCACGUUCAAAUGCUCCUCGAACUCCAGCGCCACCUGGCGGA